CUUGGAGGAACGUAUAGCGAAAGCUAGUUGCAUUUAAUUUAGCGAAAGCUAAAUUGGUGCAGAAUUGAUUCUAUCAAAUAAAGUUCUAGAUAGGUUAUGAUGAUGACAUUUCCUAUCUAUGUGUCUUGACCAAAUUACGUGCCAGCAGUCGCGGUAAUACGUAGAAGACUAGUGUUAUUCAUCUUUAAUAGGUUUAAAGGGUACCUAGACGGUAAAUCCAGUCCAAAAAGGAUACUAAUUUGCUAGAGUUUAAUGUGAGGGGGCACUAAAGUACUGAUAAGUGUAGAGAUGAAAUUCUGUGAUACAAUAUAAGGACAGGUAAAGGCGAAAGCAUCUCAUUAUGUAAUAACUGACGUUGAGGGACGAAGGCUAGGAGAAGCAAAAAGGAUUAGAUACCCAAGUAGUCUUAGCAGAAAAUUAUGAAUGUCAUAGGAUGGAAAUAGUGGAUAACCAUUUUUUUUCUAUAAAUGAAAGUGUAAGCAUUCCACCUCGAGAGUAAUUUGGCAACAUUGGAACUGAAAUCAUUAGACCGUUUCUGAAACAAGUAGUGAAGUAUGUUGUUUAAUUUGAUGGUCCGCAAAAAACCUUACCACAAUUUGAAUAGAAAUUUUUAUUUUAUACAAGCGCUGCACGGUUGUCUCCAGUUAAUGUCGUGAGAUCUUGGUUAGUUCCAUUAAAUUAACGUAAACCCUUACUUUAUUUAUAUAUAGAGUAGUUCACCGCUAGAUUGGAUGUGAUAACAGGGA
This 746-nucleotide ribosomal RNA is filed under the name Physcia dubia. RNAcentral describes it as "SSU rRNA". It matches the Rfam family "Bacterial small subunit ribosomal RNA", at positions 319 to 1171 of the family's 1533-position model. Lineage: Eukaryota; Fungi; Ascomycota; Lecanoromycetes; Caliciales; Physciaceae. The record is from RNAcentral.